AGUGAACGCUGGCGGUAGGCCUAACACAUGCAAGUCGAACGGCAGCACAGUAAGAGCUUGCUCUUACGGGUGGCGAGUGGCGGACGGGUGAGGAAUACAUCGGAAUCUACUUUUUCGUGGGGGAUAACGUAGGGAAACUUACGCUAGUACCGCAUACGACCUACGGGUGAAAGCAGGGGAUCUUCGGACCUUGCGCGAUUGAAUGAGCCGAUGUCGGAUUAGCUAGUUGGCGGGGUAAAGGCCCACCAAGGCGACGAUCCGUAGCUGGUCUGAGAGGAUGAUCAGCCACACUGGCACUGAGACACGGUCCAGACUCCUACGGGAGGCAGCAGUGGGGAAUAUUGGACAAUGGGCGCAAGCCUGAUCCAGCAAUACCGCGUGGGUGAAGAAGGCCUUCGGGUUGUAAAGCCCUUUUGUUGGGAAAGAAAAGCAGCAGGUUAAUACCCCGCUGUUCUGACGGUACCCAAAGAAUAAGCACCGGCUAACUUCGUG
This 492-nucleotide ribosomal RNA is filed under the name uncultured bacterium. Its description in RNAcentral is "partial 16S ribosomal RNA". It matches the Rfam family "Bacterial small subunit ribosomal RNA", at positions 29 to 507 of the family's 1533-position model. The record is from RNAcentral.